RNAcentral lists this ribosomal RNA (446 nucleotides) under uncultured bacterium. Its description in RNAcentral is "partial 16S ribosomal RNA". It matches the Rfam family "Bacterial small subunit ribosomal RNA", at positions 338 to 795 of the family's 1533-position model. The record is from RNAcentral.
CCUACGGUGAGCAGCAGUCGAGAAUCAUUCACAAUGGGGGAAACCCUGAUGGUGCGACGCCGCGUGGGGGAAUGAAGGUCUUCGGAUUGUAAACCCCUGUCAUGUGGGAGCAAAUUAAAAAGAUAGUACCACAAGAGGAAGAGACGGCUAACUCUGUGCCAGCAGCCGCGGUAAUACAGAGGUCUCAAGCGUUGUUCGGAAUCACUGGGCGUAAAGCGUGCGUAGGCUGUUUCGUAAGUCGUGUGUGAAAGGCGCGGGCUCAACCCGCGGACGGCACAUGAUACUGCGAGAAUAGAGUAAUGGAGGGGGAACCGGAAUUCUCGGUGUAGCAGUGAAAUGCGUAGAUAUCGAGAGGAACACUCGUGGCGAAGGCGGGUUCCUGGACAUUAACUGACGCUGAGGCACGAAGGCCAGGGGAGCGAAAGGGAUUAGAUACCCGGGUAGUC